Molecule: long non-coding RNA, 627 nt
Filed under: Equus caballus (horse)
Lineage: Eukaryota; Metazoa; Chordata; Mammalia; Perissodactyla; Equidae
Description: lncRNA (ENSECAG00000048675.1)
Source: RNAcentral
CCAGGAGAACCGGCGCCAGGUCUGUUCCCAGGCCUGAGUCAGUGGCAGACUCUGGCCUAUGCCUGGAGAUACUGAAGGCCAGGACCUGGGCUGGGAGAGAGACCGAAUGGCUCCCUGGGCUCCUUCCUGAGACUGUUCCAACAUCUUAGCACGAUGUCCAGAAUGGAUGGCAAAAUUCCUAACGACAUCUGACCAGGACAUUGCAGAGUGGAAGACCAUCUCCUCAUAGACUCUCUACUUCUAUUAUUACAGCCUGAGAUCCAAGCAGCAUUACAGGAGACCUCACAACACAAUUGCAGAUUCUGUUGACACCAACUGCUAAACCUUUUCACAUGAGCUGCUUAAGCCAUGUCCUUUCUUGUAGUCGUGCUAUUAGCUAGACCAUGAGAGCCCCUGUCACUCAGCUCCUGACGUCCACAUGUUCUUCACUGGCCAUCUAACAUGACCUUGUUGAGAAAAAUGUCAUUAACUGCUCCGAUCUGCCCUCAGUAGACCCAUGCUGGAUCCAAGAGGUCCUGGAGUCUUUUUCUAGGUGCUCCUAAACAAGAUUUUCAAUAAUUUGGUGAAUUGGGGCUGUGUUUUCAUGUCGAGCUCACAGAUUUAUAGUGUAUAGAAUCUGCCUUUUGG